Molecule: long non-coding RNA, 331 nt
Filed under: Musa acuminata (dwarf banana)
Lineage: Eukaryota; Viridiplantae; Streptophyta; Magnoliopsida; Zingiberales; Musaceae
Description: long non-coding RNA (MACU_LNC010852)
Source: RNAcentral
CAUGUUCCUCCAGCACAACAUGAUUUUCCUGCUUUAAUUGUCUCAUCCUGAUCAAAGCAUCCUGCGUCACUCAAAACGCAGAUUAAAUCAUAAACAUAUAUCAAGUAGUUUCAUCAUCAAAAUACGAGAUUCAACACAUCUCACGGGAGCCCUCUAAGAAGGAGAACCAUCGAUCGGUCACCCCUCUGCCGGACCCAGAGAUCAGCACCUCCCCAUCCUCAAAGACGGGGGAAUCUCGGCUUCAACGCCAGAUCGUUACUGGCGCUUGUUUAAUGACCCACGGUUGUCGCCCCUCGGAAUUACCGCAGGACCCUCGACCGUGUCGCCCGAG